ACGUAGGGAGCAAGCGUUAUCCGGAUUUACUGGGUGUAAAGGGCGCGCAGGCGGGCCGGCAAGUUGGAAGUGAAAUCCCGGGGCUUAACCCCGGAACUGCUUUCAAAACUGCUGGUCUUGAGUGAUGGAGAGGCAGGCGGAAUUCCGUGUGUAGCGGUGAAAUGCGUAGAUAUACGGAGGAACACCAGUGGCGAAGGCGGCCUGCUGGACAUUAACUGACGCUGAGGCGCGAAAGCGUGGGGAGCAAACAGG
This 252-nucleotide ribosomal RNA is filed under the name uncultured bacterium. RNAcentral's name for it is "partial 16S ribosomal RNA". It matches the Rfam family "Bacterial small subunit ribosomal RNA", at positions 525 to 776 of the family's 1533-position model. The record is from RNAcentral.